CGUGGCUCGCUGAGUCCUAUCAAGUUGCCCGUAUGGCGAACGGGUGAGUAACACGUGGGCAAUCUGCCCUUCACUCUGGGACAAGCCCUGGAAACGGGGUCUAAUACCGGAUAUGACCAUCUUGGGCAUCCUUGAUGGUGUAAAGCUCCGGCGGUGAAGGAUGAGCCCGCGGCCUAUCAGCUUGUUGGUGAGGUAAUGGCUCACCAAGGCGACGACGGGUAGCCGGCCUGAGAGGGCGACCGGCCACACUGGGACUGAGACACGGCCCASACUCCUACGGGAGGCAGCAGUGGGGAAUAUUGCACAAUGGGCGAAAGCCUGAUGCAGCGACGCCGCGUGAGGGAUGACGGCCUUCGGGUUGUAAACCUCUUUCASGAKGGAAGAAGCGAAAGUGACGGUACCUGCAGAAGAAGCGCCGGCUAACUACGUGCCAGCAGCCGCGGUAAUACGUAGGGCGCAAGCGUUGUCCGGAAUUAUUGGGCGUAAAGAGCUCGUAUGCGGCUUGUCACGUCGGGUGUGAAAGCCCGGGGCUUAACCCCGGGUCUGCAUUCGAUACGGGCUAGCUAGAGUGUGGUAGGGGAGAUCGKAAUUCCUGGUGUAGCGGUGAAAUGCKCAGAUAUCAGGAGGAACACC
This 633-nucleotide ribosomal RNA is filed under the name Streptomyces sp. RNAcentral's name for it is "bacterial SSU rRNA". It matches the Rfam family "Bacterial small subunit ribosomal RNA", at positions 74 to 710 of the family's 1533-position model. Lineage: Bacteria; Bacillati; Actinomycetota; Actinomycetes; Kitasatosporales; Streptomycetaceae. The record is from RNAcentral.